This 31-nucleotide non-coding RNA is filed under the name Homo sapiens (human). Lineage: Eukaryota; Metazoa; Chordata; Mammalia; Primates; Hominidae. The record is from RNAcentral.
UCCGCUCGUGGUGAUGUCAGGAGCUCCUCGU